CUGAGGUUAAUAAACGGUGCUGUGGCUGAGGUUAAUAAACGGUGCUGUGGCUGAGGUUAAUAAAUGGUGCUGUGGCUGAGGUUAAUAAACGGUGCUGUGGCUGAGGUUAAUAAACGGUGCUGUGGCUGAGGUUAAUACAUGGUGCUGUGGCUGAGGUUAAUACGCGGUGCUGUGGCUGAGGUUAAUAAACGGUGCUGUGGCUGAGGUUAAUACGCGGUGCUGUGGCUGAGGUUAAUACGCGGUGCUGAGGUUAAUACACGGUGCUGUGGCUGAGGUUAAUAAACGGUGCUGUGGCUGAGGUUAAUACGCGGUGCUGAGGUUAAUACACGGUGCUGUGGCUGAGGUUAAUAAACGGUGCUGUGGCUGAGGUUAAUACGCGGUGCUGAGGUUAAUACACGGUGCUGUGGCUGAGGUUAAUAAACGGUGCUGUGGCUGAGGUUAAUACGCGGUGCUGUGGCUGAGGUUAAUACACGGUGCUGUGGCUGAGGUUAAUACACGGUGCUGAGGUUAAUACACGGUGCUGUGGCUGAGGUUAAUAAACGGUGCUGUGGCUGAGGUUAAUAAACGGUGCUGUGGCUGAGGUUAAUAAACGGUGCUGUGGCUGAGG
This 607-nucleotide long non-coding RNA is filed under the name Salmo salar (Atlantic salmon). RNAcentral's name for it is "lncRNA (ENSSSAG00000115521.1)". Lineage: Eukaryota; Metazoa; Chordata; Actinopteri; Salmoniformes; Salmonidae. The record is from RNAcentral.